CCUACGGGAUGCAGCAGUGGGGAAUAUUGCACAAUGGGCGCAAGCCUGAUGCAGCCAUGCCGCGUGUAUGAAGAAGGCCUUCGGGUUGUAAAGUACUUUCAGCGAGGAGGAAGGCAUUAAGGUUAAUAACCUUGGUGAUUGACGUUACUCGCAGAAGAAGCACCGGCUAACUCCGUGCCAGCAGCCGCGGUAAUACGGAGGGUGCAAGCGUUAAUCGGAAUUACUGGGCGUAAAGCGCACGCAGGCGGUCUGUCAAGUCGGAUGUGAAAUCCCCGGGCUCAACCUGGGAACUGCAUUCGAAACUGGCAGGCUAGAGUCUUGUAGAGGGGGGUAGAAUUCCAGGUGUAGCGGUGAAAUGCGUAGAGAUCUGGAGGAAUACCGGUGGCGAAGGCGGCCCCCUGGGCAAAGACUGACGCUCAGGUGCGAAAGCGUGGGGAGCAAACAGGAUUAGAUACCCCUGUAGUC
This 465-nucleotide ribosomal RNA is filed under the name uncultured bacterium. RNAcentral describes it as "bacterial SSU rRNA". It matches the Rfam family "Bacterial small subunit ribosomal RNA", at positions 338 to 795 of the family's 1533-position model. The record is from RNAcentral.